Physeter macrocephalus (sperm whale) is the source of this 1233-nucleotide long non-coding RNA. RefSeq lists it as uncharacterized. The transcript has 3 exons. The record is from RefSeq and is a predicted model, not a curated record. Lineage: Eukaryota; Metazoa; Chordata; Mammalia; Artiodactyla; Physeteridae.
GUUGGCUUGGGAGAGAGAGUGAAAGAACCCCUCACAGCUGGGGCCAUGCUGAACCCACUGGGGCAAGCACCAAGUACUGGAGUUAGAAGUUGUUUGUGUGUGGCCCCUGCGACAGAGCCACAUCCUCAUCAUGAACCAGACCAGACCAAAAACACUCAUUCCCCUGCUCCCCACUCCCCAGUGCGUGUACCCAUUGUCCAGCCCCCAAAUCUGCAGGGGCCACCUUAUGUGCCAAGCACACCUGCUCUAAGAUGACCUUUAACAAGGACCGUAAGCCUGCCUCAGCACCAUGCUUCCCCACCUGUCUGUCUCUAACAGGCCCUUCAAAAUCACAUACCCAGCUUCUGUGAUACCAUCCAGCAUCAGCCAGUCAGGCUACAGCAGACUGUCAGCUCUUCAAAGACAGAGAUUUGUGUUUCUGUUGGUACACUGAUACAUCCCAAGUGCUUCAAAAAGUGCCUGGCAUAUUACACAACGAGAAAGUGGCCAUCUACAGGCCAGGAAGAGAGUUUUCACCAGGAGCCAUUCCUGCCAGAUCUUGACCUGGGACUUCCAGGUUCCAGGACUGUGAGAAAUAGGUGUCUGUUGUUUAAGCCACCCAGUCCGUGAUAUUUUGUUCUAGCAGCCUGAGCUGACUGAGACAGGGUCAGAGAGGACACACGCAAGCAUGCAUGAGGCUGGGAGGCAAGGGGAAGAAGAAGAGAAGCAGGAGAGGCUGUCAAAUGUACCUAAAAGAGGAGCUGGGGGAAAAGCAGAGGAGAGAAGGCCUGGGGUAGGGCAGAGGCCUCUAGGCCAGGGCUUUGCUUAUGGGGGGGUAGGGGGGAGCACUCAGUUAAUAAUCACACACCAACCACCAUGCUAUUGGGCCCAGUGCGAAAGCCUGGGAACACAAGGAUGACAAGACACAGCCCCAGCUCCUCAGUCAGGGAAGGGAACACGUCACAGGAGAAGCCCUCCACCUUGGUCUUCAAGGUGAUGAAGGAUUCUGCCAGCUGGUUCAGGGAUGAGGGGAAAUGAGAAGGUACUUCCGGUAGAGGCAAAAGCUUAAGCAAAGGUUCUGAGGAGUGAAGACAAUGGCAUGGGGGACAUGAGAGGGCACUGUGCUUGAUUCUGCCUUUCCAGGUGUGCCUAAAGUCACUGUGAAAAGGCUGCAGGUAAGUCUAUGCCACCAGGAGGGAGCAAUUCCAUUAUCACCAGUAACAGACAUGCCAGGCCUGUCCGUCCCCGCUGUGC